GGCUGGAGGCAGACGUGACUUACCUCAGAAAGCAGAACAGGGACCUGCAAGCCAGGCUGCUGCAGCUGGAGUCCUGCAAGUGCUGCUCAACCUCCCCCCAGUGCUGGGGGCCAGGUCACCCCUGUCCUGAAGGAGCUCGCUGGGAGCCUGAUGCCUGCACGGCCUGCGUGUGCCGUGAUGGGACCACGCACUGUGGCCCCCAGCCCAACCUGCCCCACUGCCGUGGCUGCAGCCACAAUGGGCAGUCUUAUGGUCAUGGGGAGACCUUCUCCCCAGAUGCUUGUACCACCUGCCGCUGUCUGGCAGGAGCUGUGCAGUGCCAGGGGCCUUCCUGCUCUGAGCUCAACUGUCUGGAGAGCUUCACCCCGCCUGGAGAAUGCUGCCCCAUCUGCCGGCCAGGCUGUGAGUACGAGGGGCAGCUUCACCAGGAAGGGACCAGCUUCCUGUCCACUUCCAACCCAUGCCUCCAGUGU
RNAcentral lists this long non-coding RNA (473 nucleotides) under Rattus norvegicus (Norway rat). RNAcentral describes it as "long non-coding RNA NONRATT021294". The record is from RNAcentral. Lineage: Eukaryota; Metazoa; Chordata; Mammalia; Rodentia; Muridae.